This 468-nucleotide ribosomal RNA is filed under the name uncultured bacterium. RNAcentral's name for it is "partial 16S ribosomal RNA". It matches the Rfam family "Bacterial small subunit ribosomal RNA", at positions 28 to 507 of the family's 1533-position model. The record is from RNAcentral.
GACGAACGCUGGCGGCGUGCUUAACACAUGCAAGUCGAACGGAAAGGCCCUGCUUUUGUGGGGUGCUCGAGUGGCGAACGGGUGAGUAACACGUGAGUAACCUGCCCUUGACUUUGGGAUAACUUCAGGAAACUGGGUCUAAUACCGGAUAGGAGCUCCUGCUGCAUGGUGGGGGUUGGAAAGUUUCGGCGGUUGGGGAUGGACUCGCGGCUUAUCAGCUUGUUGGUGGGGUAGUGGCUUACCAAGGCUUUGACGGGUAGCCGGCCUGAGAGGGUGACCGGCCACAGUGGGACUGAGAUACGGCCCAGAGUCCUACGGGAGGCAGCAGUGGGAAAUAUUGCACAAUGGGCGGAAGCAUGAUGCAGCAACGCCGCGUGCGGGAUGACGGCCUUCGGGUUGUAAACCGCUUUCGCCUGUGACGAAGCGUGAGUGACGGUAAUGGGUAAAGAAGCACCGGCUAACUACGUG